GCAUAUCAAUAAGCGGAGGAAG
This 22-nucleotide ribosomal RNA is filed under the name Dactylonectria macrodidyma. Its description in RNAcentral is "partial 28S ribosomal RNA". The record is from RNAcentral. Lineage: Eukaryota; Fungi; Ascomycota; Sordariomycetes; Hypocreales; Nectriaceae.